GCCCAGCCAGUAUGGUGAAUAUUACCCUUGACUUGUAACCGAGUGGGUUCGGGUUCGAAUCCCGAGUAAGGCA
Trichonephila clavipes is the source of this 73-nucleotide non-coding RNA. The record is from the annotation of a GenBank genome assembly. NCBI's taxonomy places the organism in Eukaryota, Metazoa, Arthropoda, Arachnida, Araneae, Nephilidae.